This 290-nucleotide ribosomal RNA is filed under the name uncultured bacterium. RNAcentral describes it as "partial 16S ribosomal RNA". It matches the Rfam family "Bacterial small subunit ribosomal RNA", at positions 28 to 307 of the family's 1533-position model. The record is from RNAcentral.
GACGAACGCUGGCGGCGUGCCUAAUACAUGCAAGUCGAGCGAACAUUUGAGAGCUUGCUCUCAAAUGUUAGCGGCGGACGGGUGAGUAACACGUGGGCAACCUGCCUAUAAGACUGGGAUAACUUCGGGAAACCGGAGCUAAUACCGGAUAAUUCACAUCUACUCAUGUAGAUGUGCUGAAAGACGGUUUACGCUGUCACUUAUAGAUGGGGCCCGCGGCGCAUUAGCUAGUUGGUGAGGUAACGGCUCACCAAGGCCACGAUGCGUAGCCGACCUGAGAGGGUGAUCGG